UCUACUACGGGAGAGCGACUGGUUUGCCGUAUUCAAUACUACGUUACAUUUCAAGCAGGUAAUUAUACGUUUUUUUAUCGUAUGUAAUACUGUCAUUUCAUGUUUAUUUGAUUCUACCGUUAGCAGCUUUAUGGAUUAUUAGUAUAUUUGUUAAAGAUACCCGCUAAUUUGACCGAUUUUCAUGUUUGUUCAUUGAUAUGUCCUCCGUUGCCCAAGAAGAUGCUAGAACACACUACAAUGACUCAGCCGAUGUUUUCAUCCUGCUGCCGGACCCUGGUGGGGUGUACAUUUUGCGUGGAGGAAUGGAAAAGGACGUCAGAUCACUGCCUCAAGUGCAGGGAUGACCUGCCCAUUUAUACAGAGGUAGCUGGACUCUCUGCAGCACUGGACGCCUUGAAGUCCCUUCCCUAAAGAACACUAGGCUAGCUUGUUCGUUUAGAUGUUUUUUUUGAUGUUAUUAUGAUGUUCUAAUGUUUCGUGUUGUGUUAAU
Molecule: long non-coding RNA, 490 nt
Filed under: Gadus morhua (Atlantic cod)
Lineage: Eukaryota; Metazoa; Chordata; Actinopteri; Gadiformes; Gadidae
Description: lncRNA (ENSGMOG00000031667.1)
Source: RNAcentral